AAAGAAAAAUAACAUGAGAACACUAUAUAAGGAAUGACAUUCCAUUUUGGCUGGAAAGCAAUCUUCAAACCUGUUUGUACUGGCUCAUCUUCUUCAAGCCCUCCUAAAGAUUUUCCUGCCUUUUCAUUUAAGCUUUAAUAUGCACUGCAGAUGCAAUUCCCUCUUACCUCUUACUGUUUUUGCUGCAACUGCAUUAAAACACAUUAAGAGCACAGUGGGUUUGGCUUCUGAAUUGUCUACAGCAGAAUGAUUUUUUGACAAUUUUCAUAUAUCCCUAGACAUGACAAAAUCCACAAUGUAAAAUACACACUAUAAUACUGUAUAAUAUAAUACUGUUCUCCAGCUGAAUCCUUUCUACUACAUCCACAAAUAUAAAUCAUUAACAUUCUAUCAAUAUCUAUACUCUGAUAUGGCCAUUUCACCUAGCUGGAUUUGCGAAUAACAUGCUGCACAGUUGUUACACACAUGACACUGGAGCUCCCACCUAUAAUCUAACAGUAUGAAAUACACCUCAGAGAGCCACAGCACUGCAAUCAAUAUUUUCACUGCAACUUCAACACAUCAGCCACUGGAGACAAUUAAUUUGCCAGACAAGCAGACGUUCAGCAUUCCUUGAAUGCGUGCCGCCAGGUGUCUUUGCGUGUCACCCUGGUAUGCAAACAUGUGGUUAGUUAUAGCGGUUACGCAUCGUCUCUGCUGCUAGAAACUCUUUGUAACAAAUAUAUAUAUCAUUUGGUCUUUUAGACUAAAAUUAAGCAUCCCUCAAACUGCAAUAGAAACCUGAGCUAGGAAAGGCCAAGAUAAUAUUAGGAAGUACCUCAGGAAAGAAAAAGGAUGCAAUACCAUUCUUAAAAAGGGUAGUGAAAGAAAGCCCACAUAUGCAAAUUUAAAAAAAAAAAUAAAAACCCAAAACAAAACAACCAAACCAGAGUCCAAAUAAUGCUAAUGGAUCAACGUGGUUCUAAAGUAGGGCAAGACCCGUGGUAAUAGCUUGUAGCACAAGGACGGAAGCUGUAGCACGGCUCAGGAUACAGGGUGUGAGGAAGCACACACAAGCCACACUUUAGGAUGGAGGUAGAGGAGCCCUGGAAUGGGGCAAUACGAAAAUAAGCAAACGGAUGACACUGAGUCGGUGAGCUAAACGAUGCUUCGGGGAAUGACCCCGGGGUCCGCAUGGGAAGGAGAAAGGGACAAUAUGGAGGAAGGUGUGGGCGGAAACUGGAGGAAAAAGAGAUGUGGGGUGGUGGGUGCCCCCCGUGAGAGACUGAGCGUGAGGAGACACCGCAGCACCGCCGAGGGGACAGGAUAAGCCGCACCAAGGGAGAGCGGGGAAAGGAAGACGAGCCAGGAACUCCAGUUCGUUCGCACGGUGAUGCAUCCCGAGCACAUAGUGAGGAGGGCUUGACGGAGUUUAGUUCACCUGAAGGAGUUCUGCUUCUGAGAGGCGCUGAAAUGGAGGGGAGAAAAGAAGAAAGAAGUUACUAAGAAAAAUGCUGGCUUUAGAACAGUGGGAAAGGAGCCAUAAUUUUUCCAAGGUAAAUCUCUGCUGUUACCUUCUGAGUGAGUCAUCUAUCCCCCCAAGGGGUAUAGUUCACUUUCUGAGCUCUUAAAAUAGACUUUUGUAAUGGGUUUGUUCCUUCAUCAGACACUUUCCUUCUGUAGCUGCCUUAAAAGGGCUUAAAUUCUUCUAGUUACUGCCUGAUUGCCUCAUUUCAUAUUCCACAUGUCUUCGGCAGAGAAGGAGGUUGAAGCAUUCGUUUUUUCUUCAGUAACAGAUUUUGGCAUGCAGAUUUGAAUGGGAAUGCUGAAAAACACAAGCUCGUGUUCUGAUUGCAUCGCAAUUACUAACUGCAAAGGAUGACUCCUCUGGUUAGAAAUAGUAGAGCUAGCAAGAAAAGCAUGUUGAGGCAAACCUAAAGUGGGAGAGCUUUAUAAGUUUUGGUGUUUGUGCUUACUAGUUUAGAAGGUGGAAGAAGAAAUCUACCGUGAAAGGGGAGGUAUAAUAUGGACAGUAGUUGUAUUAAAGUGUCAUGAAAAAAAGAGUAAGCGAUGCUACCACACAGUGGUUUUGCUUGUGUAACUGGAAGUGGUUCGUUUCUCAUGUGUAUCAUGUAAUUUGAGUUUGCAUCAAUACUUGCAUAACUUUCUAUUAUGUUUGGGAAGUGGUUUUUUUUUAAUGUUGCAAUUUAGUAACCUAAACUGUAAUAGCUUCCAUCUGUGGUUUAAUAAAUUACUUUUAUAUGUUUUAAUAUGUCUGUUGUUAUGGUCACUGUACAAUGUCUAAACCCUGUUGUUAAAAGUAACAAUUUUUUGCUUUAUAAUUCGAAAACGUGGGGUCUUGGUCUUUACUGCUUAAAAAAUGUAAUUUCACUCUACAAUAUGAAGGUUGAUAAGCUGGUGAAUGUCUUGCCUUUCUAGCUAUCUGAAAUAGUAUCCAUAUGCUGAUUGUAAAUCUCUUUCUAUCUAGAGCAUUUACAAAGAGAGCACUAAGUAUUAAAUUGCCUUUUCAGGAAAUGGAAGCAGCUUUUGUUAACAUGGUCUGUGCUGUGCUUUCACCUUCUGCUGCGUGGCCCUGCCCUCUGGUGGGCACGCAAAAGCUGGCU
Molecule: long non-coding RNA, 2603 nt
Organism: Catharus ustulatus (Swainson's thrush)
Lineage: Eukaryota; Metazoa; Chordata; Aves; Passeriformes; Turdidae
Exons: 3
Source: RefSeq, a predicted model, not a curated record